RNAcentral lists this ribosomal RNA (301 nucleotides) under uncultured bacterium. RNAcentral's name for it is "partial 16S ribosomal RNA". It matches the Rfam family "Bacterial small subunit ribosomal RNA", at positions 509 to 807 of the family's 1533-position model. The record is from RNAcentral.
CAGCCGCCACGGUAAUACGUAGGUGGCAAGCGUUGUCCGGAAUUAUUGGGCGUAAAGGGCUCGCAGGCGGUUUCUUAAGUUUGAUGUGAAAGCCCCCGGCUCAACCGGGGAGGGUCAUUGGAAACUGGGAAACUUGAGUGCAGAAGAGGAGAGUGGAAUUCCACGUGUAGCGGUGAAAUGCGUAGAGAUGUGGAGGAACACCAGUGGCGAAGGCGACUCUCUGGUCUGUAACUGACGCUGAGGAGCGAAAGCGUGGGGAGCGAACAGGAUUAGAUACCCCAGUAGUCCCUGUCUCUUAUAC